This 787-nucleotide ribosomal RNA is filed under the name uncultured Neocallimastigales. Its description in RNAcentral is "partial large subunit ribosomal RNA". It matches the Rfam family "Eukaryotic large subunit ribosomal RNA", at positions 26 to 646 of the family's 3401-position model. Lineage: Eukaryota; Fungi; Neocallimastigomycota; Neocallimastigomycetes; Neocallimastigales. The record is from RNAcentral.
CGUCUAUAUACGUAUAGCAUAUCAAUAAGCGGAGGAAAAGAAACUAACUAGGAUUCCCUCAGUAACGGCGAGUGAAGCGGGAAGAGCUCAAAUUUGAAAUCUUCAAGGUUUCUACCUUGACGAAUUGUAGUUUAAAGAAGUGUUUUCUGUUGGAAGUUUUGGUAAAAGUUCUUUGGAAUAGGACAUCAUAGAGGGUGAGAAUCCCGUAUUUGACCAGUUCUUUUCCAGCUGUGUGAUACACUUUCAAAGAGUCGGAUUGUUUGGGAAUGCAGUCCAAAAUGGGUGGUAAAUUUCAUCUAAAGCUAAAUAUUGGCGAGAGACCGAUAGCGAACAAGUACCGUGAGGGAAAGAUGAAAAGAACUUUGAAAAGAGAGUUAAACAGUACGUGAAAUUGUCAAAAGGGAAGCGUUUGACACCAGUGUUGUUUUUCUCGAAAAUCAAUUAAAAAUGGCUGGGAUUUUGUGUUGUAUUGACUUUAUCAGCUUUCUGCACUUUUUUUCCUAUCUUUUUUUAAUGCACUUUUCGUUUAACAAGUCAACAUCAAUUUCUUUUGUUGUAAAAGAGGUCAUUGGAAGGUGGCUUUCUUUUCGGAGAAAGUGUUUAUAGCCUUUGACUUCUGCAAUCGGAGAGAUUGAGGUCUGCAGCGUAGAUCCUUCGGGGUUAGAUGACAUUUGUGCUAAGUUAUAGCUUUUUCAUAGACAACAUUGUUGACUAUGAUUAAGUCAUGUAGCUUACUCGCUUAUGCUAUUUUACCUACGCUUAGGAUGUUGACGAUCAGCUGAGCGCG